UACGAAGGGUGCGAGCGUUGUUCGGAAUUACUGGGCGUAAAGGGUUUGUAGGCGGGAAGAUAAGUUGGAUGUGAAAUCCCCGAGCUAAACUUGGGACGUGCAUCCGAUACUGUUUUUCUUGAGUAUCGUAGAGGGUGGUGGAAUUGUAGGUGUAGGAGUGACAUCCGUAGAGAUGUGCAGGAACAUCAGAGGCGAAGGCGACCACCUGGCCGAUGACUGACGCUGAGGAACGAAAGCGUGGGGAGCAAACAGG
Molecule: ribosomal RNA, 253 nt
Filed under: uncultured bacterium
Lineage: Bacteria
Description: partial 16S ribosomal RNA
Rfam family: Bacterial small subunit ribosomal RNA
Source: RNAcentral